This 225-nucleotide ribosomal RNA is filed under the name uncultured bacterium. RNAcentral's name for it is "partial 16S ribosomal RNA". It matches the Rfam family "Bacterial small subunit ribosomal RNA", at positions 95 to 334 of the family's 1533-position model. The record is from RNAcentral.
UAGGCGUACGGGUGAGUAACACGUGGGUGAUCUACCUCUGGGUGUGGAAUAACGCUGGGAAACCGGCGCUAAUACCGCAUAAGCUCGGGAGAGGAAAGCAGCAAUGCGCCGAGAGAGGAGCCCGCGGCCGAUUAGCUAGUUGGUGAGGUAACGGCCCACCAAGGCUUAGAUCGGUAGCCGGCCUGAGAGGGCACACGGCCACACUGGCACUGAAACACGGGCCAG